RNAcentral lists this long non-coding RNA (481 nucleotides) under Salvia miltiorrhiza (redroot sage). RNAcentral describes it as "long non-coding RNA (SMIL_LNC002201)". Lineage: Eukaryota; Viridiplantae; Streptophyta; Magnoliopsida; Lamiales; Lamiaceae. The record is from RNAcentral.
CUCUCCGCCGCCCGCAAAACCUUGAUUUCGGCGGAUCUAGGGCUUCCGGCGAAGCACACACAACUUCAAUCUCACCAACCACGGACGACGCCUCCCCCGCUCAGGUAGCCCUCCCAGAGGUCGCUCAUCACCGCGGAACAGAAGGGUCAAGGGAGGAGGCGGCGAAACCCUGACGGCGAAGCACCAUGAAUGGUGGAGGAGAGAAGAGGCGACCUGACGGCGAGAGACGGCGUGAGAAGAGAGGCAAGAGGCAGGCAGAGGCGGCGACUAGCCCUAAUUCAUGGGGGAGCGGAUUUACAGAGGGGGAAGGGGGGAGACGGAGGCGGCGGCGGCGGAACAGAGGGGGAAGAGGGAGGCGGCGCCGGUGGAACAGAGGGGAAGUGAGCGGCGGCGCCGGUGGAUUUGCAGAGGGGAAAUGGUGGAGCGAUUUAGAGAGGGAGAAUGAGGGAGAUGGUAGAGAGAGAGAGAGAGAGAGAGAGAG